Molecule: small nuclear RNA, 107 nt
Organism: Chlorocebus sabaeus (green monkey)
Lineage: Eukaryota; Metazoa; Chordata; Mammalia; Primates; Cercopithecidae
Source: Ensembl
GUGCUUGCUUUGGCUGCACAUAUCCUAAAAUUGGAGCAAUACAGAGAAAAUUAGCAUGGCCCCUGAAUAGGCAGGCUGCACAAAUUUUUGAAGCAUUCCAUAUUUUG